UACGAAGGGGGCUAGCGUUGCUCGGAAUCACUGGGCGUAAAGCGCACGUAGGCGGAUCUUUAAGUCAGGGGUGAAAUCCUGGAGCUCAACUCCAGAACUGCCUUUGAUACUGGGGAUCUCGAGUCCGGGAGAGGUGAGUGGAACUGCGAGUGUAGAGGUGAAAUUCGUAGAUAUCAGGAGGAACACCAGUGGCGAAGGCGGCUUCCUGGACACCAACUGACGCUGAGACGCGAAAGCGUGGGGAGCAAACAGG
Molecule: ribosomal RNA, 253 nt
Filed under: uncultured bacterium
Lineage: Bacteria
Description: partial 16S ribosomal RNA
Rfam family: Bacterial small subunit ribosomal RNA
Source: RNAcentral